UCGUCUGUAGUGUAAUGGAUAACACAUAAGAUUUCGGCUCUCACAAUCUGGGUUCGAAUCCUGGCAGGUGGG
This 72-nucleotide transfer RNA is filed under the name Bacillus cereus BAG2X1-1. RNAcentral's name for it is "tRNA-Arg". It matches the Rfam family "tRNA". From Rfam's summary of the family: Transfer RNA (tRNA) molecules are approximately 80 nucleotides in length. Their secondary structure includes four short double-helical elements and three loops (D, anti-codon, and T loops). Lineage: Bacteria; Bacillati; Bacillota; Bacilli; Caryophanales; Bacillaceae. RNAcentral also lists the same sequence under 1 other name. The record is from RNAcentral.